UCAGGGGUCCCUUUACCUUUAUCUCUAAAGACACUUGCCUGGCACUUACUCUUCUUUACUCAGAAAUUUCAACUUGAGAUUCUAAGUUGUUUUAAGGGUUGUAUCUAUUUUUUAUUAUUGUAUUUGUACUGUGAUGAAAAGGUCACACCAUCCUGAAAUCCUACUGUCACCAUUAAUAAUAUAGUAAUAUAUUAUCUUUCCUUCUGCAGUAGCCCAGGGCACUGCACAACUUAAUGAAAAUGUGACGUUUUCCACAAAUGGGAAUUCACAGCACUGUAUCAACAGAUGUUUUUUGGGGUGGUAGAUCUUAGAAGUUCCCAACAGUCACUCUUGGGAAAGUCAUAGAGAAGGAGAAACCUGUACAAUGCUAUCUUUGGACUGGCAGUCGCAGAACCUUGGUUAAAGUCACAAACUAGUGCAAGAUGUCUCUUAAAAAUAAAAAUAAAAACACCUUUGUUUGCUAGCUGCAGUGGUAUUGCUGAAACCCCCUCAAGAUUAGUAUGGAAAAGCUUUUCCCAACCUGAGGUUCUCCAGCACAUGCCAGCUGGGGCUGAUGGGAGUUCUGGUCCAACACAGCUGGAGGGCACCUCGUCCCCUUCAUCCUGCUUGCACAGACAUAGCUUGGCAAAGUUCUCUUCUCUCGCCUCUAUUGCAGCUCCCUCGGGGGAUUCUGUGAUCCUGUAUUAACAUCAAAUAAUGCGGAGACCUAGCUUACAAGCAAGCUGAUCACCAGCCCCAGCCCAGCCAGAUGUGGGAUAUAUUGGUUAAGGGCUCGGCACGUGCGGAUUUCAAGAAGGGUAAUCUUCUAUCUGUGUGGGCUGCAGAAGUAUUGACCACAAAUAUUUUUCCUAGUACCAGAUAUGGUUUUCCUGGCACCAAAUGUGUAAUAGAGUGUGACAGAACAUACAACAGAAUUCAUGGAGGUAAAUGGUUAUAUAGCAUGAAAUUAGCUCUUCCUGUGAUUGUCUCUCCACGAGCAAAUAAAUGCUAUAUCAGUAUUACAUUGUGUAAAUAUUAUAUGGAAGCCAAGAGUUGAAAGGGGUCAGAAGGUAGGGGAAGAUCAGCUGGGGAAGAGGGUUAGUGUUAGGGGGAAAGCAGCAGACAGAGAAAGGUUAAUCAUCCCCUUGACCCCAUCACUUUCCCCCACUUCACAUUGCCUUCUGCUUAUAAUGCUUUGCAGAGAAUGAGCAAGCCGCUAAGGCUUUCUUCCAUACACUUGCACAUUGGUCCUAAGUAUACCAGAUGAUACCAGAAAGAGACGAUUCAAGUGGUCGGCUGCUUGAGCCCAGCACAUACUUUUAGUAGUAGAAUAAGCUAUGCAUAAAUGCUUAAGUAAAUAAUCCCCAAAUUUUCAAUUAAGUGCAGGUGUGAAGUUUGUUCCUUCCUUGGACCUAAGAAGUGUUAUGCAGCUGUACAAGGAGUAAAUAUUCUGCAGUUGCAGAAAUCCAGAAUCUAAUAGUUUUAAGAUUGUUUCUCAUUUCCUCUUAAGUUCACGCAACAUAGUGGGAUAAUCCCUGUCAAACUGAGUUACUAAAGCUUGUGUAAGAUGAUCCAGAAGUUAGAAAUAAUUCUAAUUAAAUGCACUAAAUAAAUUUAUCCCAGAUGUUUCUAAGACAGCCAUUGUAGAGAUGCUACAUAACUUCAUGGCAGAAGAAAGUGCAUAUAAAGUUUCAGACCUCCUUUAUUCCAAAGUUCAAGACGUGUAUCUGGGCAGUUAUUUAUUUCGUUUACCAACAAGUAUAAAUAAUAAAGUAAACAAAUAGCCUAGAUACGCUUCUGUCACCAAUGGUAUGGUGUGAUUUACAGCUGAUUAGAAGUACAAUCAACUGUUCCAUGAGGAUGAAACUUAAAAUGAUAUAGAUCUUUAGGAAGUAAAAAAUAUUCUCCCUUUGUAUAUCACUUCAAAGUAGGUAUCUAAGCAGUUUAUGGAAAACAAUAACAUAUAGCAAUUCAAUUACAAAGUAAGAGCACAAAUACAUAACUGAGUAAACACUGUGUGUG
This 2001-nucleotide long non-coding RNA is filed under the name Podarcis lilfordi (Lilford's wall lizard). The record is from RNAcentral. Lineage: Eukaryota; Metazoa; Chordata; Lepidosauria; Squamata; Lacertidae.